Molecule: ribosomal RNA, 492 nt
Filed under: uncultured bacterium
Lineage: Bacteria
Description: partial 16S ribosomal RNA
Rfam family: Bacterial small subunit ribosomal RNA
Source: RNAcentral
AGUGAACGCUGGCGGUAGGCCUAACACAUGCAAGUCGAACGGCAGCACAGUAAGAGCUUGCUCUUAUGGGUGGCGAGUGGCGGACGGGUGAGGAAUACAUCGGAAUCUACUUUUUCGUGGGGGAUAACGUAGGGAAACUUACGCUAAUACCGCAUACGACCCACGGGUGAAAGCAGGGGAUCUUCGGACCUUGCGCGAUUGAAUGAGCCGAUGUCGGAUUAGCUAGUUGGCGGGGUAAAGGCCCACCAAGGCGACGAUCCGUAGCUGGUCUGAGAGGAUGAUCAGCCACACUGGAACUGGAACACGGUCCAGACUCCUACGGGAGGCAGCAGUGGGGAAUAUUGGACAAUAGGCGCAAGCCUGAUCCAGCCAUACCGCGUGGGUGGAGGAGGCCUUCGGGUUGGAAAGCCCUUUUGUUGGGAAAGAAAAGCAGCAGGUUAAUACCCCGCUGUUCUGACGGUACCCAAAGAAUAAGCACCGGCUAACUUCGUG